UACGUAGGUGGCAAGCGUUUGUCCGGAUUUACUGGGCGUAAAGCGCGCGUAGGCGGCUUUGCAAGUCGGGUGUGAAAUCCCCAGGCUUAACCUGGGAACUGCAUUCGAGACUGCAUUGCUAGAGUAUGGGAGAGGGAAGUGGAAUUUCCGGUGUAGCGGUGAAAUGCGUAGAUAUCGGAAGGAACAUCAGUGGCGAAAAGCGACUUCCUGGACCAAUACUGACGCUCAUGUGCGAAAAGCGUGGGGGAGCAAAACAGG
Molecule: ribosomal RNA, 258 nt
Filed under: uncultured bacterium
Lineage: Bacteria
Description: partial 16S ribosomal RNA
Rfam family: Bacterial small subunit ribosomal RNA
Source: RNAcentral